AUUGUACGCUGGCGGCAGGCCUAACACAUGCAAGUCGAACGGUAGCACAGAGAGCUUGCUCUCGGGUGACGAGUGGCGGACGGGUGAGUAACGUCUGGGAAACUGCCCGAUGGAGGGGGAUAACUACUGGAAACGGUAGCUAAUACCGCAUAACGUCACAAGACCAAAGUGGGGGACCUUCGGGCCUCACACCAUCGGAUGUGCCCAGAUGGGAUUAGCUAGUAGGUGGGGUAAUGGCUCACCUAGGCGACGAUCCCUAGCUGGUCUGAGAGGAUGACCAGCCACACUGGAACUGAGACACGGUCCAGACUCCUACGGGAGGCAGCAGUGGGGAAUAUUGCACAAUGGGCGCAAGCCUGAUGCAGCCAUGCCGCGUGUAUGAAGAAGGCCUUCGGGUUGUAAAGUACUUUCAGCGGGGAGGAAGGCGGUGAAGUUAAUAGCUUCACCGAUUGACGUUACCCGCAGAAGAAGCACCGGCUAACUCCGUGCCAGCAGCCGCAGUAA
RNAcentral lists this ribosomal RNA (504 nucleotides) under uncultured bacterium. Its description in RNAcentral is "partial 16S ribosomal RNA". It matches the Rfam family "Bacterial small subunit ribosomal RNA", at positions 30 to 523 of the family's 1533-position model. The record is from RNAcentral.